This 499-nucleotide ribosomal RNA is filed under the name uncultured microorganism. RNAcentral's name for it is "bacterial SSU rRNA". It matches the Rfam family "Bacterial small subunit ribosomal RNA", at positions 9 to 493 of the family's 1533-position model. The record is from RNAcentral.
GAGUUUGAUCCUGGCUCAGGAUGAACGCUGGCGGCGUGCCUAAUACAUGCAAGUCGAGCGAACGGACGAGAAGCUUGCUUCUCUGAUGUUAGCGGCGGACGGGUGAGUAACACGUGGAUAACCUACCUAUAAGACUGGGAUAACUUCGGGAAACCGGAGCUAAUACCGGAUAAUAUUUUGAACCGCAUGGUUCAAAAGUAAAAGACGGUCUUGCUGUCACUUAUAGAUGGAUCCGCGCUGCAUUAGCUAGUUGGUAAGGUAACGGCUUACCAAGGCAACGAUGCAUAGCUGACCUGAGAGGGUGAUCGGCCACACUGGAACUGAGACACGGUCCAGACUCCUACGGGAGGCAGCAGUAGGGAAUCUUCCGCAAUGGGCGAAAGCCUGACGGAGCAACGCCGCGUGAGUGAUGAAGGCUUCGGAUCGUAAAACUCUGUUAUUAGGGAAGACAUAUGUGUAAGUAACUGUGCACAUCUUGACGGUACCUAUCAGAAAGCCA